This 508-nucleotide ribosomal RNA is filed under the name uncultured bacterium. RNAcentral describes it as "partial 16S ribosomal RNA". It matches the Rfam family "Bacterial small subunit ribosomal RNA", at positions 28 to 523 of the family's 1533-position model. The record is from RNAcentral.
GAUGAACGCUAGCUACAGGCUUAACACAUGCAAGUCGAGGGGAAACGAUAUUGGAAGCUUGCUUCCGAUAGGCGUCGACCGGCGCACGGGUGAGUAACGCGUAUCCAACCUGCCCAUCACUUGGGGAUAACCUUGCGAAAGUAAGACUAAUACCCAAUGAUAUCUCUAGAAGACAUCUGAAGGAGAUUAAAGAUUCAUCGGUGAUGGAUGGGGAUGCGUCUGAUUAGCUUGUUGGCGGGGUAACGGCCCACCAAGGCGACGAUCAGUAGGGGUUCUGAGAGGAAGGUCCCCCACAUUGGAACUGAGACGCGGUCCAAACUCCUACGGGAGGCAGCAGUGAGGAAUAUUGGUCAAUGGACGAGAGUCUGAACCGGCCAAGUAGCGUGCAGGAUGACGGCCCUAUGGGUUGUAAACUGCUUUUAUAAGGGAAUAAAGUGAGUCUCGUGAGACUUUUUGCAUGUACCUUAUGAAUAAGGACCGGCUAAUUCCGUGCCAGCCGCCGCAGUAA